AGUUCGGAUUCUGGCCUGUGAUUGAACGCUAUACAAGCUACAUGCAAGUCGAACGGCAGCACGGACUUCCGGUCUGGUGGCGAGCGGCGAAACGGUGGAGUAGUCGUGACGGAACGCCUAGUAGCGGGGGAUAACUACGCGAAAGGUAGCUAAUACCGUACAUUGCCCUUCGGGGAAAGCGGGGACCUUCGCCUCGCACUAUUAGAGCGGCCGAUAUCGGAUUAGCUAGUUGGUGGCAACGGCUCACCAAGGCGACGAUCCGUAGCUGGUUUGAGAGGACGACCAGCCACACUGGGACUGAGACACGGCCCAGACUCCUACGGAGGCAGCAGUGGGAAUUUUGGACAAAUGGGGAAACUCCUGAUCCAGCCAUCCUGCGCGUGUGUGCGAUGAAGGCCUUCGGGUUGUAAAAAGUUACUUUGGCAGGAAAGAAACGGCACGGGAUAAUACCCUGUGCAACUGACGGUACCUGCAGAAUAAGCACCGGCUAACUACGUGCCAGCAGCCGCGCAAUGAUGCGUAGGGUGCAAGCGUGAUCUGAAUUGUCGCUAAAGCGUGCGCAGGCGGUUCGGAAAGAUGUGAACCGGAAUAACUUUGGAACUGCAUUUUUAACUACCGGAGCUUGGGGAGUGUGUCAGAGGGAGGCAAUCAGCGUGUAGCAGGAAAUGCGUAGAUAUGCGGAGGAACACCGAUGGCGAAGGCAGCCUCCUGGGAUAACACUGACGCACGAAAGUGGGGAGCAAACAGGAUUAGAUACUCCGGUAGUCCACGCCCCAAACGACGCUAACUAGCUGUUGGGGCCUUUGGCCUUGGUAGUGCAGCUAAUUCAGAAGUUGGACCGCCUGGGAGCAAGCGGUCGCAACAUUUAAAACCCGCGAAUUGACGGGGACCCGCACAAGCGGUGGAUGAUGUGAUUAAUUCGAUGCAACGCGAAAACCUUACCUACCCUUGAUAUGUUCGAACCCGAAGAGAUUUGGGAGUGCUCGAGAACCGAAAUUCAUGAGGAAGGGUGAUGGCUGCCUGCUCAAAUGAGAAGGGUUAAGUCCCGCAACGAGCGCAACCCUUGUCAUUAGUUGCUAGCUAAAAGGCACCGAUUGUAGACGUUUUGCGAUAAACCGGAGGAAGGUGGGAUGACGUCAAGUCCUCAUGGCCCUUAUGGGUAGGGCUUCACACGUCAUAAUGUUCGACAGGGUCGCCAACCCAUAGGAGCCAAUCCCAGAAACCCGAUCGUAGUCCGGAUCGCAGUCUGCAACCUGACUGCGUGAAGUCGGAAUCGCUAGUAACGCGGAUCAGCAUGUCGCGGUGAAUACGUUCCCGGGUCUUGUACACACCGUCGGCGACCAUGCGGGGAGUGGUUUUACCAGAAGUAGUUAGCUCAACCAAAGGAGGGCGAUUACCACGUAGGAUUCAUGACUGGGUGAGAAGCCGCAACAGCCUGAA
Molecule: ribosomal RNA, 1440 nt
Filed under: uncultured Bordetella sp.
Lineage: Bacteria; Pseudomonadati; Pseudomonadota; Betaproteobacteria; Burkholderiales; Alcaligenaceae
Description: partial 16S-23S ribosomal RNA intergenic spacer
Rfam family: Bacterial small subunit ribosomal RNA
Source: RNAcentral